RNAcentral lists this ribosomal RNA (254 nucleotides) under uncultured bacterium. RNAcentral describes it as "partial 16S ribosomal RNA". It matches the Rfam family "Bacterial small subunit ribosomal RNA", at positions 79 to 334 of the family's 1533-position model. The record is from RNAcentral.
CUUUCUUUGCUGGCGACCGGCGCACGGGUGAGUAACACGUAUCCAACCUGCCCUUUACUCGGGGAUAGCCUUUCGAAAGAAAGAUUAAUACCCGAUGGCAUAAUGAUUCCGCAUGGUUUCAUUAUUAAAGGAUUCCGGUAAAGGAUGGGGAUGCGUUCCAUUAGGUUGUUGGCGGGGUAACGGCCCACCAAGCCUUCGAUGGAUAGGGGUUCUGAGAGGAAGGUCCCCCACAUUGGAACUGAGACACGGUCCAA